GUCUAGUCUGUAACUGACGCUGAGGCUCGAAAGCAUGGGUAGCGAACAGGAUUAGAUACCUGGUAGUCCAUGCCGUAAACGAUGAGUGCUAAGUGUUGGAGGGUUCCGCCUUUCAGUGCUGCAGCUAACGCAUUAAGCACUCCGCUGGGGAGUACGACCGCAAGGUUGAAACUCAAAGGAAUUGACGGGGGCCCGCACAAGCGGUGGAGCAUGUGGUUUAAUUCGAAGCUACGCGAAGAACCUUACCAGGUCUUGACAUCUUCUGCCAAUCUUAGAGAUAAGACGUUCCCUUCGGGGACAGAAUGACAGGUGGUGCAUGGUUGUCGUCAGCUCGUGUCGUGAGAUGUUGGGUUAAGUCCCGCAACGAGCGCAACCCUUAUUAUCAGUUGCCAGCAUUCAGUUGGGCACUCUGGUGAGACUGCCGGUGACAAACCGGAGGAAGGUGGGGAUGACGUCAAAUCAUCAUGCCCCUUAUGACCUGGGCUACACACGUGCUACAAUGGGCGGUACAACGAGUCGCGAAGUCGUGAGGCUAAGCUAAUCUCUUAAAGCCGUUCUCAGUUCGGAUUGUAGGCUGCAACUCGCCUACAUGAAGUUGGAAUCGCUAGUAAUCGCGGAUCAGCAUGCCGCGGUGAAUACGUUCCCGGGCCUUGUACACACCGCCCGUCACACCAUGAGAGUUUGUAACACCCAAGGUCGGUGGGGUAACCUUUAGGAACCAGCCGCCUAAGGUGGGACAGAUGAUUAGGGUGAAGUCGUAACAAGGUAACCA
This 772-nucleotide ribosomal RNA is filed under the name uncultured Lactobacillus sp. RNAcentral describes it as "bacterial SSU rRNA". It matches the Rfam family "Bacterial small subunit ribosomal RNA", at positions 727 to 1502 of the family's 1533-position model. Lineage: Bacteria; Bacillati; Bacillota; Bacilli; Lactobacillales; Lactobacillaceae. The record is from RNAcentral.